Molecule: long non-coding RNA, 1053 nt
Filed under: Anas platyrhynchos platyrhynchos (common mallard)
Lineage: Eukaryota; Metazoa; Chordata; Aves; Anseriformes; Anatidae
Description: lncRNA (ENSAPLG00000029358.1)
Source: RNAcentral
GCUGUGUAGACUAAAAUACAAAGGGAAAUGACUGAGGCAUGCCAUUAAAUUAGACUAAUUAUGAUCAGCAGUUUAAGACAAGUGGGAAUCUUAUUACUGAUGUCAAUUGGCUGCAGAUCAGGCUCUAAGGGAUCUCACCUACUUCAUAGGCUGCCUUUCCUCGUUUACUCCAACUGCUUUGAAUUAAUCUGAUGACCCAAUGCAUCCACCACAAGGAUACAAAAUACCCGUUAAUGUAGCUUAACUGGUUGGUUAAGUCAGGUUUAUGGCUCCUUUGUGUUGCUCAAGCAUUGUAAAACAUCCAGAACAUAUCAAGUUUAAAAGCUAUAGAGACAGAUUUUUAAACACAUAUAAACAUAUGCAGUGGUGGAAUAUGAAGAUGUCUGGAAUCGGAAAAUUACAGAACUCCAGAGCUUGAAGCAGAAUCCAUCUUAAACUACUGGAAGCCAGCUCUCAGCUUUACUGGCGAGGUUUCAUAUUGUUAAGUUAUGAGACAUUAAUUCAUUGGUGGGAAUAUGAGUUAUAUUUCUCCCUUAGUUGCACGUGUCUCAGGAUAGGGGAAAAGUAGGAGAAAAGUUUUGUCAAUGUGAGGAUUUCUACACGCUAUUUGUGUUUUAUUCACUGCAAUCCAUUAUUAAUUCCUACAUUCCUAAAACUUCCAGCAAUGUUGAAACCAGCACUUUCAACUUCAGCCUGAGCCAUAGGAUCUAUUAAGUGAGGCCUUUGAAAUCUCUACAUUUGAAACCGCUCUCAAAUCAGACAAUCUGGUAAAUCUCCCUAGCCUGUGAAUGUGUCUGUGAAAAGGCUUAUUUUCAAAGAAAUACAUUUUUUCCUCCGUGUUGAGAGUGGCUUCAGACUGAGUGCUGAUACUUUAGAGGUUUCAAACAGUCAGCUGUGGCUGAGGCUGAAUUUGAGGUCCUAUUUUCAACAAAGAGUAAAACUUUGAGUUCCUGAGACUUUCAGUUAUUUUAAAAUUAAUAUUAAAUUGCAUGCUCUGAUACAGCAUGUGGAAAAGUGUAAUUUUUUUUUUUGUCGUUGCUGUUGUUCUAGAGU